Molecule: ribosomal RNA, 301 nt
Filed under: uncultured bacterium
Lineage: Bacteria
Description: partial 16S ribosomal RNA
Rfam family: Bacterial small subunit ribosomal RNA
Source: RNAcentral
CAGCCGCCGCGGUAAUGCGAAGGGUGCAAGCGUUAAUCGGAAUUACUGGGCGUAAAGCGUGCGUAGGCGGUGAGUUAAGUCUGCUGUGAAAUCCCCGGGCUCAACCUGGGAAUGGCAGUGGAUACUGGCUCGCUAGAGUGUGUCAGAGGAUGGUGGAAUUCCCGGUGUAGCGGUGAAAUGCGUAGAGAUCGGGAGGAACAUCAGUGGCGAAGGCGGCCAUCUGGGACAACACUGACGCUGAGGCACGAAAGCGUGGGGAGCAGACAGGAUUAGAUACCCCAGUAGUCCCUGUCUCUUAUAC